RNAcentral lists this ribosomal RNA (531 nucleotides) under Triticum aestivum (bread wheat). RNAcentral describes it as "partial small subunit ribosomal RNA". The record is from RNAcentral. Lineage: Eukaryota; Viridiplantae; Streptophyta; Magnoliopsida; Poales; Poaceae.
AUGAGUGGUUGGAGAUAUUGUGGCUUGAUGUCCCUGGAGCAGUCAGACCCUUCCAAGAUAGGUCGAGCGACGGUGAGCACAUCCGACGCCAACACACCAAGGUUUUUGUGGUCGUGUCAUACACCAAUUACCGUCGAGAUGGGUAAUGGUAUGGGAAUGGGGCUCCAAGGAUGUGAAAAUGGUCGGGAAGACAGAGUUAGCAGCGACAUGUGUCCUCAAGCCGUCCACCCGUUUGAUUUCUGGACCCAUAUUUUAAUGGUUCUCUUGCAGGAAGUUGGUGACGAGUUAGUAGAACUUAUAGAAAUGUCGCUUUCAUUAGACAAUGACAUGCCAAAGACGCCACUGCCUAAGUUUUUAUUACAAUUGGUCGAGCUACAACGAGUGCGUCUGAUUCCAACUCAUCAAGGUGAGCUCCCUUUUUUAUUCUUCUCAGGUGUUGGUCAGGAGCUGAUUGUCGGGACUGAUGACAAGAACGGAGAGCAGGAUGAGUAUGUCAACAUGAUGUUCCUUGAUGUUGGCCUUCUUUUAUAA